AUGGACAAGCUACUGUUUGGGUUUCUGUCCUCACUAGCCUCGUGGAAGCCAUUGCUCAGACAAACAUGAUUGGGAAGGUGUUUAUUUUUCCUAAAGAAUCUAAUAGUGCUCACGUGAGCUUGAUCACACAGCUGGAGAAAUCUACAGAACUUCACUGCGUGUCUUCAUGCUUAUACCGACCUCUCCCAUGGCUAUCGCCUCUUCUCCUACAGCAUCCAGACCAAGAGCAAUGAGAUGGUCAUUUUUAAGUCUCAAAUUGGGGAGUACAAUCUUAUCAUUGGGGGUGACAAGGUUUUCUUCAAGGUCUGUGAGAAUUUCCCCACCCUGGUGCACAUCUAUGCCAGCUGGGAGUCCUCCUCAGGCAUUGCUGAGUUCUGGGUCAGUGAGAAGCCUUAGGUGAGGAUGGGGCUAAGGCAGGGUUUCUCUGUGGGAGCUUACCCCAAGAUUGCCCUGGGUAGCAGCAGGGUUCCUAUGGAGGCAAGUUUGGUAAGAGCCAGUCCAUUGUGGGAGAGAUUGGAGAUGUGUACAUGUGGGACUCUGUGCUGUCCCCAGAAGAAAUCUGGUUUGUGUAUCAAGGUAUCUACAUCAAACCCAAUAUUCUGGACUGGCGGGCAUUGAACUAUACAAUGCAAGGUUAUGUGGUCACCCAGUCCCAUAAAUAGAGUU
This 666-nucleotide long non-coding RNA is filed under the name Homo sapiens (human). Its description in RNAcentral is "non-protein coding lnc-APCS-2:1". Lineage: Eukaryota; Metazoa; Chordata; Mammalia; Primates; Hominidae. The record is from RNAcentral.